UGCCUCAAAAGUUGCUAUCAUAUGUGAGA
RNAcentral lists this non-coding RNA (29 nucleotides) under Mus musculus (house mouse). The record is from RNAcentral. Lineage: Eukaryota; Metazoa; Chordata; Mammalia; Rodentia; Muridae.